GACGAACGCUGGCGGCGUGGAUUAGGCAUGCAAGUCGAACGGUAUCAUCCUUUCGGGGGUGAGAGAGUGGCGAACUGGUGAGUAACACGUAGGUUAUCUACCCUCAAGACGGGGACAACCCAGGGAAACUUGGGCUAAUACCGGAUGUGAGCAACUUUUAGUUGUUUGAAAGGUGGCGUAAGCUGUCGCUUGGGGAUGAGCCUGCGUCCUAUUAGUUAGUUGGUGAGGUAACGGCUCACCUAGGCAAUGAUAGGUAGGCGGCCUUAACGGGUGGUCGCCCACACUGGGAUUGAGAUACGGCCCAGACUCCUACGGGAGGCAGCAGUCGAGAAUAGUCUACAAUGGUCGGAAGACUGAUAGUGCGACGCCGCGUGAACGAUGAAUCCCUUCGGGGUGUAAAAGUUCUUUUAUAUGUGAGCAGUGCUUCUUAUAUUAACAGUAUGGGGAGAGAGAUAUUAGCAUAUGAAUAAGCAAACGGCUAAACUCCGUGCCAGCAGCCGACGGUAAAAA
This 510-nucleotide ribosomal RNA is filed under the name uncultured bacterium. RNAcentral's name for it is "bacterial SSU rRNA". It matches the Rfam family "Bacterial small subunit ribosomal RNA", at positions 28 to 526 of the family's 1533-position model. The record is from RNAcentral.